Molecule: ribosomal RNA, 540 nt
Filed under: uncultured Massilia sp.
Lineage: Bacteria; Pseudomonadati; Pseudomonadota; Betaproteobacteria; Burkholderiales; Oxalobacteraceae
Description: bacterial SSU rRNA
Rfam family: Bacterial small subunit ribosomal RNA
Source: RNAcentral
AACAGGAUUAGAUACCCUGGUAGUCCACGCCCUAAACGAUGCCUACUAGUUGUCGGGUUUUAAUUAACUUGGUAACGCAGCUAACGCGUGAAGUAGACCGCCUGGGGAGUACGGUCGCAAGAUUAAAACUCAAAGGAAUUGACGGGGACCCGCGCAAGCGGUGGAUGAUGUGGAUUAAUUCGAUGCAACGCGAAAAACCUUACCUACCCUUGACAUGUACGGAAGGCCGAAGAGAUUUGGCUGUGCUCGAAAGAGAACCGUAACACAGGUGCUGCAUGGCUGUCGUCAGCUCGUGUCGUGAGAUGUUGGGUUAAGUCCCGCAACGAGCGCAACCCUUGUCAUUAGUUGCUACAUUUAGUUGAGCACUCUAAUGAGACUGCCGGUGACAAACCGGAGGAAGGUGGGGAUGACGUCAAGUCCUCAUGGCCCUUAUGGGUAGGGCUUCACACGUCAUACAAUGGUACAUACAGAGGGCCGCCAACCCGCGAGGGGGAGCUAAUCCCAGAAAGUGUAUCGUAGUCCGGAUCGCAGUCUGCAACU